UAUUUGCCAGCGAGUAAUGUCGGGAACUUUAAGGAUACUGCCAGUGACAAACUGGAGGAAGGCGGGGACGACGUCAAGUCAUCAUGGCCCUUACGGCCAGGGCUACACACGUGCUACAAUGGUCGGUACAAAGGGUUGCUACACAGCGAUGUGAUGCUAAUCUCAAAAAGCCGAUCGUAGUCCGGAUUGGAGUCUGCAACUCGACUCCAUGAAGUCGGAAUCGCUAGUAAUCGCGGAUCAGAAUGCCGCGGUGAAUACGUUCCCGGGCCUUGUACACACCGCCCGUCACACCAUGGGAGUUUGUUGCACCAUGAAGUAGCUAGCCU
This 326-nucleotide ribosomal RNA is filed under the name Acinetobacter sp. Its description in RNAcentral is "bacterial SSU rRNA". It matches the Rfam family "Bacterial small subunit ribosomal RNA", at positions 1112 to 1436 of the family's 1533-position model. Lineage: Bacteria; Pseudomonadati; Pseudomonadota; Gammaproteobacteria; Moraxellales; Moraxellaceae. The record is from RNAcentral.